CAUACGGGGUUGGAGGGCACGCAGAUGGUCAGGCCAGAGCGGCCCCUUCCCCUCAGCCGAGUGCAGACUCCCGGGAGAGACCGGGUGUCUGAGGCUGAGUGAGAAGGGGCCGCUCACAGACACUUCUGUGUCCAGGGCCACACUGUACUGGCUUGCUUGCUGUCGGAGGUGGACAGCGGUGUGCAGGACCGAGGUGUCUCUGUGCUUCUGGACCCGGGGUUUUCUCUGAUCUGGCGGCUCUGCGCUGCAUGGAGGGAAGAAAUGUGAAGCCCAGAGAGGUCGGCUGACCUUUCCAAGGUCGCACAGCCGAGAAAGAACGAAGCUGGAUUUGGACCGGGCCCGUUAGUUAGAUUGCCUCUUUGCACGGGACUGGCAGAGCCUACGGAGCGGUCGGCCGCUGUGCCAGCAGACUCGGGGAAAGAGGCUCAUCGGUUCCUUGUUUGGUAACCUAAUAAAUGACACAUUUGUGGGACAGCCUCGCCCUAGAAGCUUCCGUCUUCUCCUCUCUCUGCAAGUUCUAACAGCCUGGGUUGCUGUUGGCCACUCGAGACCACCCCCCACCCCCCAGCCGAAGACCCUUGCUGCUGAGGAGAAGGCUGGGGUUUGACGAAGCUGAACGGCGAGGAGCCACAGAGUUUGAAUGGCGAGGCUGCGACGGCUCCUGCCGUCAGGCAGGUGGGGAGACCACGCCAGACGCCAGAGGCCGCUCACGGUACCUGCUGCGCCCCUUCUCCUUGUCACCGUAGACGUACAUGGUGGAUUGGAAGUGGGAAAUGGGAAUUCGAAAAUUACAGGCAAAGAAUGGCAAUUAGUUUAGCUAAAGCAAAAAGAUGGCAUUCGAAAAACCCAACAUUUUGCUAAGUAAGUCAGUGCUGGGGAACAAUUUUACCAGGAAGUAAAAAUAAACUCGAGUUUGUAGGCGUUACGGAA
Long non-coding RNA from Suricata suricatta (meerkat), 930 nucleotides. RefSeq lists it as uncharacterized. The transcript has 2 exons. The record is from RefSeq and is a predicted model, not a curated record. NCBI's taxonomy places the organism in Eukaryota, Metazoa, Chordata, Mammalia, Carnivora, Herpestidae.